CAGGCCCGCGGGGCCCUGGCCCCCGUCUGCGUUCCGCGGGCGAUGCCUGCAGCAGCUGACUCUGCGGGGACGGGCACUGCAGCCGCAUCCUGCCUGGGCCGUGACCGAGGGGAAGCGCAGUGACAGGGCACAGCGGGUGCAGGGGUGCCCCUCGCUCUAUUGCGUCCCCCCGGGGUGGGAGCAAAGGUCCCGGCACGGCUUCCCACACGUGGCCACAUUCCUGCCCUGGCUCUGGAGCGGAGGCUGCCGGGAUGGAGGGAUGGAGAGAUGGGGCAGGCGAGGGGCCUCCUCCCGGGGCUGCCCUCCCCCAGCUGCUGCUGGGGUGGGGACGUGGGUUCCUGCUCCACUAAGCCCUGCAGCUUUUCUCCUCUAAAGCCUGAUUACUCCGGCGGUGCCUGUGCGUGCGUGCGUGUGUGUGCUCGGGAGGGGAGGAGCAGGAAUUUCACAACAAGUGUUUGCAACCACCCUGGGCCCAGCUGCCCCAGAGCUGCCCCAGGGCUGCGGCAUCACCCCUGUGCCGGGGAGUGUGCCGGGGGGGCUCUGCGUUGGCACUGAGCCCCAGGGAGUGCAGGCAUGGCAUGCAGGGCCUUGGCAGGAGGUCAGCACUGGAGACUGCAGGGGGAUGCUGCAGUCGGAAGGUGAAGCUGUGGCUUCUUGUGGGGCUUUGGAAGUGAGUGCCACAGCUCCCUAUGGGCUUUGGAGGUGGGGCUUAGAGGUAGGCACCAUGGCUGUCUGUGAGGUUUGGAGAUGGGCACCAUAGCUGCCCAUGGGGUUUGGAGGUGGAUGCUGCAGAGAUUCAGAGGUGGAUGCUGCAGGUCUUGGUGGGGUUUGGAGGUGGACAUUGCAUCUCUCCAUGGAAGGCAGACACUGCAAAGGCUUUGGAGGUGGAUGCUGCAGCUCCCUUACGGAGUUGGGAGGUAGAUGCUGCAGGAGCUUGGAGGCAGUUGGUGUAGGUUCCUGCAGGGUCUGGAGGUGGAUGCUGCAGCUGCCCGUGGGGCGUCCCUUCCCCUGCCCAGUGCUGGUGUGCAGUGCUGGCCCAGGGACAGGGGUCCAGGAGGAGGGUGAUGGGUGCAGCCAAGCCCGAGUUGUAUGAGCAGCAUCAUCUAGGGGGGGUAGCAGCCCUGCACCCCUCUGCCUCCCUGGAGCCCGGGUUGGGAGAGCAGGCAGCAGCCCAGGGCAGGGAUGCCGCGGUCCCGGCAGCAUGGGGCCGCACGGCGCCAGAGCAGAGCGGUAGAUGAGCCGCGUGACUUCCGUGGGGCCGUGGCCCCGGGGGGAGCAGAGCCGGGCACAGGGCGCCUUUCAGCACGGCAGAGCCAUGGCGGCCAGGCCGGAGCUUCCCCUGUGACCCCCCGCUCCUGCCUGCCCGCAGACCCUUUGAGAGAGCAGCGGAACGGAUCCGCACCGAGGUCCGUUCCCUGGAGCUCCUUUGUUCGCGGCGCUGAGGCUUCGGUGGCAGGGGGAGGCAGAGGCGCCGUGCAAAGCCCGCUGGCUCCCGCCGGCACUAACUCUCUUUUCUUCUGUGCUUGCAGAGCGACGCGUCGAGCUCCCGAGGCGCAGAGCAUGUCCUUGCCCUGAGCCAGCACCGCAGCCGCUGCCGCCGGCGCCGCAGCAGCCGCCCCGUUGAUGCGUGUUCCCGCCUGAGCUUCCCCGGUGGCGGCAGGCCGGUGCCACCCCACAGCGGCCUUGGGGGUCCUUCGCUUCGGCCUCGGGGGUGGGGUUUGGGGUUGGUUUGGGUUGGGGUUUUUUUUUUUUUCCUUUCCUUUUUAUUUUUUGUUUCCUUUUGGGUUUGGUCUCGGUGUCGGGCUCCGGGCACCAUGUCAAACUCGGGCUCCCACCAAGACGCUGGGAACAAGCCAGAGACGGAAAAAAAUAACCAAGAUGACUCUCAACCCCCCGUCAGCUCCGAGAGGAGGAACAAAAGUGGAAUAAUAAGUGAACCUUUGAACAAAAGUCUUAAGAAGUCCCGUCCGCUCUCCCACUAUUCCACCUUUGGUAGCAGCAGCUCGGUAAGCGAACAUUCAGAGAAAGGCAACCCCUUAGCUAACGGCAACGAAGCGACUGUGGAUAAAAGUCAUUCUACCUCAAAGCACAAAAACAUCUCUAGUAUGCUGAGCAAAUUAGACCGGGUGUCGGAGAUCUCCGCGGAAGGACAGAUCGCCCUACAGCAGUUUGCUCAGUCGACAGAAAUGCUCAAAAGAGUGGUACAGGAGCAUCUUCCUCUGGCGAGCGAGCACGGGACUGGUCUCUCCGACAUGGAGGCGGUCUCAGCUGCAGAGACAAUGAACGGCCCCUCUGAUUUCCCUUACCUGGGGGCUUUUCCCAUCAACCCCGGCCUUUUCAUUAUGACCCCCGCCGGCGUGUUUCUGGCAGAGAGCGCGCUCCAUAUGGCUGGCUUGGCAGAGUACCCCAUGCAGAACGAGUUGGCAUCUGCCAUCAACUCGGGGAAAAAGAAACGGAAAAGAUGCGGCAUGUGCCCGCCGUGCCGAAGACGGAUAAACUGCGAGCAGUGCAGCAGUUGUAGGAACCGCAAAACUGGCCACCAGAUUUGCAAAUUCCGAAAGUGUGAGGAACUCAAAAAGAAGCCUUCUGCAGCACUGGAGGUAACCGGCCCCUCUCAGGCACCCUAACCCCUCCUCGGGCCGCGCUCCUGGGUUCGGAUCUUGCCCUAGAUAAUAAAACACCUGAAGGUGAUGCUUCCUACAGGAGCCGCGUUCAGAUGGUUCCAGUAGGAACGGGGAUCCCAAAGCUCUGUCAUCCA
This is an RNA transcript of Colius striatus (speckled mousebird), 2758 nucleotides long. It is a transcript of the gene named CXXC finger protein 5, with no coding region annotated. NCBI's taxonomy places the organism in Eukaryota, Metazoa, Chordata, Aves, Coliiformes, Coliidae. The record is from RefSeq and is a predicted model, not a curated record. The transcript is spliced from 2 exons.